GUCUCUCUCACUUCCGCUCAAUCGGCUUUUGGCCAAAGACGAGUAUCUUCUUCCUGGACUGCCUUCUCCCACCCCAACCCAGACACCAAGGGGACGCGACAGCGGUUUUGGGACGCUGGCUGAUCAUCUGAGAGGAGGCGAUCCCGGCCCCGCUGGGCGUUCAGGAUCCCGAUCUGGAUGCCGUCCACCCCGCCCCGCCGGGGGCUGGGGCGAAAGCGGAACAAGUCGGCGGGGCUGGUUGGGCCGCGACCUCCGGGGCACGUGGCCGCAGACAGUGCCCGUGCCGGGGCGGGGAGGCGAGUUCUCCCUGCGGCCGCGGACCCUGGAUGGUGGCGUCGCCCGAAGACGCGCCUCACCGGCCUGGGUGGGGUUGCCUUUUGCCCUCGAGGCUGGCCUAAGCGCUGGGGGGCCGCUGGCUAACCCUGAGGCUUCUAAUGUGAGGAAAAACACGGAAUGACAAGUGUGGGAAAGAGCAAGCACUAAAUUACUGUCAGAAAAAUAAACGGAGUAGCACAGUGCUGCUCGGUGAUUUACGGGGGCAAUUAGUCACCACCCCACGGCGCUGCUGAGGACAGCACGGCAGCAGACAAGUCAGGCCCAUGAGGAAGAAGAGGCUUUGCACUGCUCUCCAGACAACUUUUCAAACAACAAGAGAGGAUAUUUGAGCACAUUAGGUUUUGUGUCUUCAUUCUGGGUACCUACUCUUCAUAUUAUUCUACCAACUUAAUACAUAAACAUAUUUUUAGCACAAUAUGAACCUGUUCUAUGUGUGUUUAAAAGCCUCCAGCAGCAACUUUUUUCUCUCCCACUGUCCAAAGUUGGGUUUUCCCCAUCCCUUAAAAAACAAAACAAAAAAACCUUUCUUCACUCCAAAUUGUCCCCCUGGUGUGUGGUUUUGGUCUUUCUCAUUACUUCUUGCAUCUUGCUACAUGUUCUGCAUUUGCUCAGAGCCACUGGGUGCUAAGGAAUUUGGUCUGCUGCUCCUCUGGGAAAGUUUGGUAAGCUGGUACAAGGAGGUGAUGAACAAGGCUAAAUGAAAAUCAUACAUAAACUUCCCAAUAUUUGUGAACAUGUUCUUUAACAUACCAUACAUAGUUUCUAUGUAUAUGUAACAUAGCAAAACAAACUUGCUAAGGUAUAAUUAAUUGGUAUGCAUGCCUUCAUAAAUAUUCACCAUCAGAAGAAACCUAGAAUGAAAGGUUGUGAAAGAACCCAGGAAUGAGAAAGACUUUAUUGACUAAAGGCCAUGUCUAUGUAGGGGCAACAAUGAAGCUGUGGGUGAGCAAAUGAAGCUUCAUCAGGAGUUUAGUAUCCUUAUGUAGCAUUACCUAAGAAUGCUACCAUAGUAAAUUUCUGAAGUACUUUACCUGUUACAAAGAACGUUUGUAAUCUCCUUUUCUUAUUUGAUCUUGCCCUGGCUUUAGUCAGGAACACCUGCUCAGUUAGAAAUGUAUUCGGUGGGUAUGUACGCAGUUGGAGAAUGUGCCCCAACACACGCCGCCUUUGGCCUGUAUGUUGGAGUCCUAGAGAGGCAGACAAUGUUGAUGAGCUUGGUACCAGCAUGGUGCGCCAUUCAUCCGGACACAAUUUCUGAUAAAGAGGGUCACAACUGGGAGAAACCUCAGAUUCUACUUGCUUCUCUUCUCCACGUUAUUAGACUUUUUUUCCCCUCUUGAAUUUUAUAAGCACACUCCUUUUAAAACAAUUAAUUAAUAACGAGCACUGGGAUUUGAUGUAGAAUUGCGUAUUUGUAACUGCAAUGGCACUGGUUUUCAACUACCCUGUAACAAGGAAGCAAUUCUAACCAGCAAAAGAGGCAGACGUGUUUCUGUGCAACAUCACAGGCGUGUGAAAUUGUUCAGAUAUUGAGAUAUCAGGAGUGAUAUAAAUUGGAAAUUUAACCAAAAAUAUUUUCCAUCAGUGAACAAAGCCGAUUUUAAAGUGCCUCUUGCAUUUUUCAGAUCUUUCUCUUUCUUUUUCCCAAAGUCACAUUGUAGUUUCUGAUAAAGGAACACACUGGGAAAACUAAGCACAUAUUUAAUCAAUGAAAUUUAAGGUGUAAAAAUUCUGCAUUUCUGACAAAUUUAAUGUUCACUUUUUUCUUGAUUUAAAUAGAGCAUUCUAAAAAUAUUACCCCUAUAGGGGAUAAAUUUUUAUAUGCAUGUUAUUUUUCUUUACAAAGUGUGGGCUAGUAAAGAGUGAAAAAGACCUUGGCUAUUGUACUUAUUUCUUGAAAGAAAUAAUAGCAUCUUAAUGACUGGAUUCAAAUCUCUGCUUAUCACACAACUUCCGUACAGUUCAAAGAGAGGACUUGGAUUGAAUGAAAACAGAGAGCUGGGGCUUCCUACAUUCCCCUGUGUUUGUGUUCAUACAGAAUAUUUAUGCAAUAUUCUGACUUGGCCAUAAUCUGUAAUUCCUGCCUAUUAUUCUCAGUUGCAACUAUAAAUUCUAGAUUAAUGGUUAUAAUUUUGGUAAGGCAUACAUGAA
Homo sapiens (human) is the source of this 2487-nucleotide long non-coding RNA. Ensembl annotates it as long intergenic non-protein coding RNA 2609. Lineage: Eukaryota; Metazoa; Chordata; Mammalia; Primates; Hominidae. The record is from Ensembl.